RNAcentral lists this ribosomal RNA (253 nucleotides) under uncultured bacterium. RNAcentral's name for it is "partial 16S ribosomal RNA". It matches the Rfam family "Bacterial small subunit ribosomal RNA", at positions 524 to 776 of the family's 1533-position model. The record is from RNAcentral.
UACGUAGGGGGCGAGCGUUGUCCGAAGUUACUGGGCGUAAAGCGCGCGUAGGCGGGUUGGCAAGUCUGGUGUGAAAGCCCGGGGCUCAACCCCGGAGGGUCGGUGGAUACUGCCAGUCUUGACGGUGCUAGGGAGAGAUGGAAUUACCGGUGUAGCGGUGAAAUGCGUAGAGAUCGGUAGGAACACCAGUGGCGAAGGCGGUCUCUUGGGGCAUUCUUGACGCUGAGGCGCGAAAGCUGGGGGAGCGAACGGG